RNAcentral lists this ribosomal RNA (497 nucleotides) under uncultured bacterium. RNAcentral describes it as "partial 16S ribosomal RNA". It matches the Rfam family "Bacterial small subunit ribosomal RNA", at positions 28 to 507 of the family's 1533-position model. The record is from RNAcentral.
GAUGAACGCUGGCGGCGUGCCUAAUACAUGCGAGUCGAGCGAACGGACGAGAAGCUUGCUUCUCUGAUGUUAGCGGCGGACGGGUGAGUAACACGUGGAUAACCUACCUAUAAGACUGGGAUAACUUCGGGAAACCGGAGCUAAUACCGGAUAAUAUUUUGAACAGCAUUGUUCAAAAGUGAAAGACGGUCUUGCUGUCACUUAUAGAUGGAUCCGCGCUGCAUUAGCUAGUUGGUAAGGUAACGGCUUACCAAGGCAACGAUGCAUAGCCGACCUGAGAGGGUGAUCGGCCACACUGUAACUGAGACACGGUCCAGACUCCUACGGGAGGCAGCAGUAGGGAAUCUUCCGCAAUGGGCGAAAGCCUGACGCAGCAACGCCGCGUGAGUGAUGAAGGUCUUCUGAUCGUAAAACUCUGUUAUUAGGGAAGAACAUAUGUGUAAGUAACUGUGCACAUCUUGACGGUACCUAAUCAGAAGACCACGGCUAACUACGUG